Molecule: transfer RNA, 77 nt
Filed under: Streptomyces sp. AS58
Lineage: Bacteria; Bacillati; Actinomycetota; Actinomycetes; Kitasatosporales; Streptomycetaceae
Also listed under: 2 other names
Description: tRNA-Met
Rfam family: tRNA
About the family: Transfer RNA (tRNA) molecules are approximately 80 nucleotides in length.
Source: RNAcentral
CGCCGGGUGGAGCAGGUAGGCAGCUCGCUGGGCUCAUAACCCAGAGGUCGCGGGUUCAAAUCCCGCCUCGGCCACGA